Panicum virgatum (switchgrass) is the source of this 102-nucleotide small nucleolar RNA. The record is from RefSeq and is a predicted model, not a curated record. Lineage: Eukaryota; Viridiplantae; Streptophyta; Magnoliopsida; Poales; Poaceae.
AUGCCGUGAUCUGGACAGACCAGGAUGUACUCCUGCAGCCUUUCCCAAGCUUCCGAGAUGGAUUCCAUCCCUGUCUGCUGAAAACUUGAUAUCUUCCGGCGU